GGAGAGGUGGCAGAGCUGGCCGAAUGCACCAGUCUUGAAAACUGACGGCGGUUUACCCCGCCCGAGGGUUCGAAUCCCUCCCUCUCCGCCA
RNAcentral lists this transfer RNA (91 nucleotides) under Gammaproteobacteria bacterium. RNAcentral describes it as "tRNA-Ser". It matches the Rfam family "tRNA". Rfam says of the family: Transfer RNA (tRNA) molecules are approximately 80 nucleotides in length. Lineage: Bacteria; Pseudomonadati; Pseudomonadota; Gammaproteobacteria. The record is from RNAcentral.